Molecule: long non-coding RNA, 497 nt
Filed under: Nicotiana benthamiana
Lineage: Eukaryota; Viridiplantae; Streptophyta; Magnoliopsida; Solanales; Solanaceae
Description: long non-coding RNA (NBEN_LNC002352)
Source: RNAcentral
UCAGCCAUUUGUGCAUUUCGUAUGUUUAAAUCAUGAGUGAAAAAUGAGUGUAGGAAAAAAAAAGAAGGGGAGGGCGUUAUUGUGCGAUUUGGAGAAGAGGCUUCUGUUAUGGUGAGGAAAAUCAGGGGAGUGAAGGGAUGUCCAAAUGAAUUUGAUCGAGGACCAAGAAGGAGGGCUCGAUCCACCAUUUGUGGUUGUUCUUCGAGAGAAGAAGCUCCCUGUUGCCCGAUUUUCUUGUGAAGGGGUAUGAUGUGUAAAAGGGGGAGGGUUUUUUUUUUAUUUUUGUGUGUGUCCUCUAGAGUAAAUCGAGUGUGUGUGCUUUAUCGUGAAGAAGAAGAGAACAGGAAAGGGGGCACGCAUUUCGCGUGUCUCUAAGGGAAGAAGGGAUAUUAGCUAAAUGGGAUUUCGGUCAUGGGUCAUGGGUUUUUGGGAUGGAUUUAAUUGGGCUGAGCUAUUUGGCCCAGAUUUGGGUCUUAAGACCAACCUUUUAGUUUGUU